CUUUUCUUGUUAGUUUUUGAAGUAUGGCCUGCCCGCUGACGUUGAGUUGAAGGGCCGCGGUAUUUUGACCGUGCAAAGGUAGCAUAAUCAUUAGUUCUUUAAUUGUGAUCUGGAAUGAAUGGCUUGACGAGACACAAGCUGUCUUAAUGUUGAAUGUUUUAUUGAAUUUGGUCUUUGAGUUAAAAUUCUUAGAUGUUUUUAUGGGACGAGAAGACCCUAUAGAGUUUAACAUUUGGUUUACUUAUUUGUUGUUGUUUGUUUGUUUUGUUGGUAAGUGGACUUUUUGUUUUGUUGGGGUGAUGAGAGGAAUGAUUUAACUCCUCUUGGUUUUGGUUAUAUUGAUUUAUAUUUAUUUGAUCCAUUUAUUUUGAUUAUAAGACUAAAUUACCUUAGGGAUAACAGCGUUAUCUUCCUUGAGAGUUCUUAUCGGCAGGGGGGUUUGCGACCUCGAUGUUGGAUUAAGGUGAAUUUUUGGUGUAGGGGCUGAAAGUUAUAUUAGGUCUGUUCGACCUUUGGAAUCUUACA
This 525-nucleotide ribosomal RNA is filed under the name Coptotermes lacteus (milk termite). Its description in RNAcentral is "partial 16S ribosomal RNA". It matches the Rfam family "Bacterial large subunit ribosomal RNA", at positions 1831 to 2600 of the family's 2925-position model. Lineage: Eukaryota; Metazoa; Arthropoda; Insecta; Blattodea; Rhinotermitidae. The record is from RNAcentral.